UACGAAGGGGGCUAGCGUUGCUCGGAAUCACUGGGCGUAAAGGGUGCGUAGGCGGGUCUUUUAAGUCAGGGGGUGAAAUCCUGGAGCUCAACUCCAGAACUGCCUUUGAUACUGAAGAUCUUGAGUUCGGGAGAGGUGAGUGGAACUGCGAGUGUAGAGGUGAAAUUCGUAGAUAUUCGCAAGAACACCAGUGGCGAAGGCGGCUCACUGGCCCGGUACUGACGCUGAGGUGCGAAAGCGUGGGGAGCAAACAGG
RNAcentral lists this ribosomal RNA (255 nucleotides) under uncultured bacterium. Its description in RNAcentral is "partial 16S ribosomal RNA". It matches the Rfam family "Bacterial small subunit ribosomal RNA", at positions 524 to 776 of the family's 1533-position model. The record is from RNAcentral.